This 440-nucleotide ribosomal RNA is filed under the name uncultured bacterium. Its description in RNAcentral is "partial 16S ribosomal RNA". It matches the Rfam family "Bacterial small subunit ribosomal RNA", at positions 338 to 795 of the family's 1533-position model. The record is from RNAcentral.
CCUACGGGAGGCAGCAGUAGGGAAUAUUUCUCAAUGGGGGAAACCCUGAAGCAGCAACGCCGCGUGGAGGAUGAAGGUUUUCGGAUUGUAAACUCCUUUUGUUAGAGAAGAUAAUGACGGUGUCUAACGCAUAAGCACCGGCUACCUCCGUGCCAGCAGCCGCGGGAAUACGGAGGGUGAAAGCGUUACUCGGAAUCACUGGGCGUAAAGAGCGCGUAGGCGGGAUAGCAAGUCAGAUGUGAAAGCCUAGGGCUUAACCAUAGAACUGCAUUUGAAACUGUGAGUCUAGAGUAUGGGAGAGGGAGGUGGAAUUCUUGGUGUAGCAGUAAAAUCCGUAGAGAUCAAGAGGAAUACUCGUUGCGAAGGCGACCUGCUAGAACAUAACUGACGCUGAUGCGCGAAAGCGUGGGGAGCGAACAGGAUUAGAUACCCCAGUAGUC